Molecule: ribosomal RNA, 476 nt
Filed under: uncultured bacterium
Lineage: Bacteria
Description: bacterial SSU rRNA
Rfam family: Bacterial small subunit ribosomal RNA
Source: RNAcentral
CGCUGGCGGCGUGCCUAACACAUGCAAGUCGAACGGAACUUCUUUAAAGGAUUUCUUCGGAAUGAAUUUGAUUAAGUUUAGUGGCGGACGGGUGAGUAACGCGUGAGUAACCUGCCUCUAAGAGGGGAAUAACAUUCUGAAAAGAAUGCUAAUACCGCAUAAUAUAUAUUUAUCGCAUGGUAGAUAUAUCAAAGAUUUAUCGCUUAGAGAUGGACUCGCGUCCGAUUAGUUAGUUGGUGAGGUAACGGCUCACCAAGACCGCGAUCGGUAGCCGGACUGAGAGGUUGAACGGCCACAUUGGGACUGAGACACGGCCCAGACUCCUACGGGAGGCAGCAGUGGGGGAUAUUGCGCAAUGGGGAAACCCUGACGCAGCAACGCCGCGUGAAGGAUGAAGGUCUUCGGAUUGUAAACUUCUUUUAUUAAGGACGAAGAAAGUGACGGUACUUAAUGAAUAAGCUCCGGCUAACUACGUG